UUCCCUGUAGCUCAGUUGGUAGAGCAUGGUGUUUGCAACGCCAGGGUUGUGGAUUCGAUUCCCACGGGGGACC
RNAcentral lists this transfer RNA (73 nucleotides) under Salmo salar (Atlantic salmon). It matches the Rfam family "tRNA". Rfam says of the family: Transfer RNA (tRNA) molecules are approximately 80 nucleotides in length. Lineage: Eukaryota; Metazoa; Chordata; Actinopteri; Salmoniformes; Salmonidae. The record is from Rfam by way of RNAcentral.